This 642-nucleotide ribosomal RNA is filed under the name uncultured Citricoccus sp. RNAcentral's name for it is "bacterial SSU rRNA". It matches the Rfam family "Bacterial small subunit ribosomal RNA", at positions 235 to 885 of the family's 1533-position model. The record is from RNAcentral. Lineage: Bacteria; Bacillati; Actinomycetota; Actinomycetes; Micrococcales; Micrococcaceae.
GGCCUAUCAGCUUGUUGGUGAGGUAAUGGCUCACCAAGGCGACGACGGGUAGCCGGCCUGAGAGGGUGACCGGCCACACUGGGACUGAGACACGGCCCAGACUCCUACGGGAGGCAGCAGUGGGGAAUAUUGCACAAUGGGCGCAAGCCUGAUGCAGCGACGCCGCGUGAGGGAUGACGGCCUUCGGGUUGUAAACCUCUUUCAGUAGGGAAGAAGCCUUCGGGUGACGGUACCUGCAGAAGAAGCGCCGGCUAACUACGUGCCAGCAGCCGCGGUAAUACGUAGGGCGCGAGCGUUAUCCGGAAUUAUUGGGCGUAAAGAGCUCGUAGGCGGUUUGUCGCGUCUGCUGUGAAAGCCCGGGGCUUAACUCCGGGUGUGCAGUGGGUACGGGCAGACUAGAGUGCAGUAGGGGAGACUGGAAUUCCUGGUGUAGCGGUGAAAUGCGCAGAUAUCAGGAGGAACACCGAUGGCGAAGGCAGGUCUCUGGGCUGUUACUGACGCUGAGGAGCGAAAGCAUGGGGAGCGAACAGGAUUAGAUACCCUGGUAGUCCAUGCCGUAAACGUUGGGCACUAGGUGUGGGGGACAUUCCACGUUUUCCGCGCCGUAGCUAACGCAUUAAGUGCCCCGCCUGGGGAGUACGG